This 497-nucleotide ribosomal RNA is filed under the name uncultured bacterium. Its description in RNAcentral is "partial 16S ribosomal RNA". It matches the Rfam family "Bacterial small subunit ribosomal RNA", at positions 28 to 507 of the family's 1533-position model. The record is from RNAcentral.
GAUGAACGCUGGCGGCGUGCCUAAUACAUGCAAGUCGAGCGAACAGACGAGGAGCUUGCUCCUCUGACGUUAGCGGCGGACGGGUGAGUAACACGUGGAUAACCUACCUAUAAGACUGGGAUAACUUCGGGAAACCGGAGCUAAUACCGGAUAAUAUAUUGAACCGCAUGGUUCAAUAGUGAAAGACGGUUUUGCUGUCACUUAUAGAUGGAUCCGCGCCGCAUUAGCUAGUUGGUAAGGUAACGGCUUACCAAGGCGACGAUGCGUAGCCGACCUGAGAGGGGGAUCGCCCACACAGUAACUGAGACACGGUCCAGACUCUUACGGGAGGCAGCAGUAGGGAAUCUUCCGCAAUGGGCGAAAGCGUGAGGGAGCAACGCGGCGUGAGAGAGGAAGGUCUUCGGAUCGUAAAACUCUGUGAUUAGGGAAAAAAAAAUGUGUAAGAAACAAUGCACGUCUUGACGGUACCUAAUAAGAAAGCCACGGCUAACUACGUG